GACGAACGCUGGCGGCGUGCUUAACACAUGCAAGUCGAACGGAAAGGCCCUGCUUUUGUGGGGUGCUCGAGUGGCGAACGGGUGAGUAACACGUGAGUAACCUGCCCUUGACUUUGGGAUAACUUCAGGAAACUGGGGCUAAUACCGGAUAGGAGCUCCUGCUGCAUGGUGGGGGUUGGAAAGUUUCGGCGGUUGGGGAUGGACUCGCGGCUUAUCAGCUUGUUGGUGGGGUAGUGGCUUACCAAGGCUUUGACGGGUAGCCGGCCUGAGAGGGUGACCGGCCACAUUGGGACUGAGAUACGGCCCAGACUCCUACGGGAGGCAGCAGUGGGGAAUAUUGCACAAUGGGCGGAAGCCUGAUGCAGCAACGCCGCGUGCGGGAUGACGGCCUUCGGGGUGUAAACCGCUUUCGCCUGUGACGAAGCGUGAGUGACGGUAAGGGGUAAAGAAGCACCGGCUAACUACG
RNAcentral lists this ribosomal RNA (466 nucleotides) under uncultured bacterium. Its description in RNAcentral is "partial 16S ribosomal RNA". It matches the Rfam family "Bacterial small subunit ribosomal RNA", at positions 28 to 505 of the family's 1533-position model. The record is from RNAcentral.